This 647-nucleotide ribosomal RNA is filed under the name Trametes sp. JCM 28562. RNAcentral's name for it is "eukaryotic LSU rRNA". The stretch from base 240 to 393 matches the Rfam family "5.8S ribosomal RNA". The record is from RNAcentral. Lineage: Eukaryota; Fungi; Basidiomycota; Agaricomycetes; Polyporales; Polyporaceae.
GGAAGUAAAAGUCGUAACAAGGUUUCCGUAGGUGAACCUGCGGAAGGAUCAUUAACGAGUUUUGAAACGGGUUGUAGCUGGCCUUCCGAGGCAUGUGCACGCCCUGCUCAUCCACUCUACCCCUGUGCACUUACUGUAGGUUGGCGUGGGCUCCUUAACGGGAGCAUUCUGCCGGCCUAUGUAUACUACAAACACUUUAAAGUAUCAGAAUGUAAACGCGUCUAACGCAUCUAUAAUACAACUUUUAGCAACGGAUCUCUUGGCUCUCGCAUCGAUGAAGAACGCAGCGAAAUGCGAUAAGUAAUGUGAAUUGCAGAAUUCAGUGAAUCAUCGAAUCUUUGAACGCACCUUGCGCUCCUUGGUAUUCCGAGGAGCAUGCCUGUUUGAGUGUCAUGGAAUUCUCAACUUAUAAAUCCUUGUGAUCUAUAAGCUUGGACUUGGAGGCUUGCUGGCCCUUGUUGGUCGGCUCCUCUUGAAUGCAUUAGCUUGAUUCCGUACGGAUCGGCUCUCAGUGUGAUAAUUGUCUACGCUGUGACCGUGAAGUGUUUUGGCGAGCUUCUAACCGUCCAUUAGGACAACUUUUUAACAUCUGACCUCAAAUCAGGUAGGACUACCCGCUGAACUUAAGCAUAUCAAUAAGCGGAGGA